Molecule: ribosomal RNA, 863 nt
Filed under: uncultured bacterium
Lineage: Bacteria
Description: bacterial SSU rRNA
Rfam family: Bacterial small subunit ribosomal RNA
Source: RNAcentral
AGAGUUUGAUCAUGGCUCAGGACGAACGCUGGCGGCGUGCCUAAUACAUGCAAGUAGAACGCUGACUACUUUAGCUUGCUAGAGUAGAAGGAGUUGCGAACGGGUGAGUAACGCGUAGGUAACCUGCCUACUAGCGGGGGAUAACUAUUGGAAACGAUAGCUAAUACCGCAUAACAGUGUUUAACACAUGUUAGAUGCUUGAAAGAUGCAAAUGCAUCACUAGUAGAUGGACCUGCGUUGUAUUAGCUAGUUGGUGGGGUAACGGCCUACCAAGGCGACGAUACAUAGCCGACCUGAGAGGGUGAUCGGCCACACUGGGACCGAGACACGGCCCAGACUCCUACGGGAGGCAGCAGUAGGGAAUCUUCGGCAAUGGGGGCAACCCUGACCGAGCAACGCCGCGUGAGUGAAGAAGGUUUUCGGAUCGUAAAGCUCUGUUGUAAGAGAAGAACGUGUGUGAGAGUGGAAAGUUCACACAGUGACGGUAACUUACCAGAAAGGGACGGCUAACUACGUGCCAGCAGCCGCGGUAAUACGUAGGUCCCGAGCGUUGUCCGGAUUUAUUGGGCGUAAAGCGAGCGCAGGCGGUUUAAUAAGUCUGAAGUUAAAGGCAGUGGCUUAACCAUUGUUCGCUUUGGAAACUGUUAAACUUGAGUGCAGAAGGGGAGAGUGGAAUUCCAUGUGUAGCGGUGAAAUGCGUAGAUAUAUGGAGGAACACCGGUGGCGAAAGCGGCUCUCUGGUCUGUAACUGACGCUGAGGCUCGAAAGCGUGGGGAGCAGACAGGAUUAGAUACCCUGGUAGUCCACGCCGUAAACGAUGAGUGCUAGGUGUUAGGCCCUUUCCGGGGCUUAGUGCCGCAGCU